CCUACGGGUGGCAGCAGUGAGGAAUAUUGGUCAAUGGACGAGAGUCUGAACCAGCCAAGUAGCGUGAAGGAUGACUGCCCUAUGGGUUGUAAACCUCUUUUAUAAAGGAAUAAAACGAGGCACGUGUGCCUUUUUGCAUGUACUUUAUGAAUAAGGAUCGGCUAACUCCGUGCCAGUAGCCGCGGUAAUACGGAGGAUGCGAGCGUUAUCCGGAUUUAUUGGUGUUAAAGGGAGCGUAGAUGGGUUGUUAAGUCAGUUGUGAAAGUUUGCGGCUCAACCGUAAAAUUGCAAUUGAAACUGGGAGUCUUGAGUACAGUUGAGGUAGGCGGAAUGCGUGGUGUAGCGGUGAAAUGCUUAGAUAUCACGAAGAACCCCGAUUGCGAAGGCAGCUUACUAAACUGUGACUGACAUUGAUGCUCGAAAGUGUGGGUAUCAAACAGGAUUAGAUACCCCAGUAGUC
Molecule: ribosomal RNA, 460 nt
Filed under: uncultured bacterium
Lineage: Bacteria
Description: partial 16S ribosomal RNA
Rfam family: Bacterial small subunit ribosomal RNA
Source: RNAcentral